Molecule: long non-coding RNA, 383 nt
Filed under: Cricetulus griseus (Chinese hamster)
Lineage: Eukaryota; Metazoa; Chordata; Mammalia; Rodentia; Cricetidae
Description: lncRNA (ENSCGRG00015035585.1)
Source: RNAcentral
GGGACAAGUGGAUUGCUUUCAAGUUUUGGUGUUUGUGAAUGAUGAUGCUUUGAGUGCAAAUGUAUAGACACCCUACAUUUAGCUAUUUUGAACAUAUGCAGUAAUUAAAUGUUGAAUUGCUGGAUUAUAUGGAGCCCUUGUCGGUCAGAUAAGGGAGUUGGAUCCCCUGAAAUUGGAUUUAUAGGGAAUUGUGAGCUGCCAUAGAUGCUGAGCCAGGUGCCAUCAUGUAGCAGGCAAAGGAGUUGCAGUUUUGGGUGCCAGAGCUCUGAAGAGAGGUCUUACAAGCAAAAGAAAAUCCAAUGUUGAUACAUGCAUUCUCUCUCGAGGUUCUGGGGUGGGAUCUGGGCCUUCUCAUUCCAGGUCCAGGGCCACCUGUAUUCCUU